AGGAGGAAGGAAAAUUAUUUGUUUGCAGAUGACAUGAUCUUGAACAUAACAAAACCCUAGAGAUACCACAAAAAAUAUUAGAACCAGUUUUUUAAAAUGAGGAAGAGUGCAGGAUGCACAAUGAGCACAAUGAACAAAGAAAAUAAAUAAAAAUAAACCACCUAUGAUUCUACACACCAGCAUGGAAAUAUAUGCAAAACAAAUAACAAAAUUAUACAAUUGAAAAUGGCACAGAAUAAAGUACUUGGGAUUAAACUUCAUAAAGUAUGUAAAAUAAUUGUAGAGCGAAAAUGACCUUUGUUGAUGAAAGCCAUGUAAAAAUGCACAAGUUCCACAAAUAUACCUGUGCUCACUGAUAAGAAUUAUUCAUAUUGUCACAGCACCAUCCACACAAACUAAUGUAGAAAUGCAUCCCAAACCUGCCAUUCACUUUUAAAGAAUCAAAUCUAAGUCUGCAGUGUGAUAUAUAUGCAAGAGGACAUGCAAAUAGGGCCCUCUCUGUGCUGAUAAAACCAGCCCAUCCCGACCGUGCAGCUGGGAGAGGAGCCCCAGCUCCAGGGGUCCCAGGUGUUCCCAUUCUGUGAUGAGGACAGAACACAGACACCUCAUCAUGGAGUAUGUGCUUGGCUUGGUUUACCUUGUUGCAUUUUUAAAAGGUGUCCAGUGUGACGUGCAGCUGGUGGAGUCUGGGGGAGACCUGGUGAAGCCUGGGGGGUCCCUGAGACUCACCGGUGUAGCCUCUGGAUUCACCUUCAGUAGUUCCAGCAUGAACUGGGUCUGCCAGGCUCCAGGAAAGGGGCUGCAGUGGGUCGCGUAUAUUAGUAGUAGUGGAGGUAGCACAAGCUACGCAGACUCCGUGAAGGGCCGAUUCACCAUCUCCAGAGACAACGCCAAGAACACGCUGUAUCUGCAGAUGAACAACCUGAAGUCUGAGGACACGGCCACAUAUUACUGUGCAAGGAACAGGGUGAGGGGACCUCGCUGGGAGCUCACACGCAAACCUCCCUGCAGGAGGGGAUCAGCACCACCAGGGGGCGCACACUAUGCACAAUUCUGCUUUGUGUUGCCAGGAGCAGGUGCAGAUGGAGGUUACAGGCAGGUUUCCUGUCAGGGUCUGGGGCUUCCUGUCCACACAGCAGUUUCCCCAGGGAGCCUCUCUGGACACAGGAUUCUGUGCUUACCUAUUAACUCUCUGAAUUAGAUACCUGUUGUCAUAGGAAAACUGCACUAACAUGCACAAAAGACACAGUUGUUUGCAUUGCUUACUCCUGUCCCUCAACAUGAGUGAAUUACAGAUUUUCUGAGGCACAACAUCUGAGCCAUUAGAGGAGUCCCAGAUGCACUCCCUGUGCAGCCAGGACCACAGGAUCCCACAGCUCCCCAUUAACUUCACCCAGCCCUUGUCCCAAUCAAACAACGUGACACUCCCUCCUGGCACUUGCUACUCAGGACGUUAAAUGAGCUACAGCUUUAUUCAAUUCCUCUAAACAAGAGAUAAAUCAUCUCCAUGUAUUAGUCUGGAUUCUCCUGAGGAACAGAACCCAAAGCACAUUGGUUUCCAUGACUAAAGAGGUUGGGAAGUCCCAUGAUCUACUGUCACAAGCUGGAGACCCAGGAAAACCAGUGGUGUAAUAUGUCUGAUUCUGAACUAGGGUCUAGUCUCAGAACGUAGAGAUCUGAUGAUAUAACUCUCAUAACAAGGGCCAGAGGGGACCACUGUUCCAGUUCAAACAAGCACAUGGGAAGUAAAAAUGAGGGAAUUCUUCCUCCCUCUGCAUCAGAUUCUAUUCAGAACCUUAAUGGAAUGGGUGAUGCCCAGACAGAAACCAUGGAAGGAAAUGCCAGUCUCUUCUGGAAACACAUCACAGACAUCCACAGAAACAGUGGUGAAUCUGGGCACCCAUGACUCAGUCAAGAUAACCCAUAAAGUUAAUCAUGACAAGUCAACUUCCUGUAAACGUGGAGCUCAAAGACUGAAGACUUCAAUUUAAAUUAAAAAUAAAAGAAGAAAAUUAAAUACAUACAUAUAUGAACCAUUGGGACUACCUCAAAAUAGCACGCUUCUGCACAGUGAGGGAAACAAUCAACAAAACUAAAAGUCAACCUAUGGAAUGGAAGAAGAUAUUUGUAAAUGAAAUAUCCUCAGGGUUACUAUUCAAACUAUGCAAAUGUUUUGAAAUUAUUUUCACAUUAUCAGUAGAGAGUGUGUCCAUGCCGUUCAGCAUACUGUCAUGUGAGAAGCAAAAUUCGUGUCUUCCACUUUGGUUUUGUGUUAGGAUCUCACUGAACAUGACACCAACACUCUUCACAAAACUUGAACCAUACAGUACAGUACUGUUAAUUACAGGGGUAAUGUUGUGGAGACCCCUCUAGAACUUAAUCAUCUUGCAUAACAGAAAAUCAUAGCCCUUGAGAUCUACUCCUCAUUGCCCCACCCUGCCAGCCCCUGACAACUGCCAUUCCACUCUCCAUUGUAUUGUUAUCAAAUCCCAAAUUCAGCUGAGUAUUUCUGGAAAGGUCAAUGUUCAAAGUUUUAGUUUUGGUGGGAAAAGAAGUUGAGCUUUAUUUAGGAGGUCAGCCACCCGGAGAAAAGGCAGACUCUUCAAAAGCCAACUCUGAGGGUUUCUGCCCAACCCAGGGGAUUUUAAAGGACUAGACGGUACUUAAACAAGGGAGUUCCAUGGUGGAUACCAUUUUCGAUCAUGUGCAGCCUCCAUGGUGCAAGCUGCCAACGUAACCUCAACUCCCCUGCAUCUAUCUCCACCUGAGGAGAGAAACUCACAGGCAUGGGAGAAGACUGCCAGAGGCCAGGAAAGAACCACAAUAAGGGAUUAGAGGGGAAAUCCCCUGGGGCUCACACAUGUUCAGCAGUACUUUCUGUUCUCACCAGAUGGCAUAAGAAAAAACUAAAAUACAACCUUGUACUUCACCAAUCAUGACACAGAAUACUGGGAAAUGUUUCCUCAGUAAACUCAGAGGAAGCUUCAAAGCAACAACCAAAAGGAUCAAAUGGCUUGCAAACUAAUAGCCAACCAGAAUAAGACAUGUAAAAUUACAAAGCGAUGUUUUUCAAUACGUACAAAGGUAAAAUUGACAGUCUACCUCCAUAUCCCAUGGAAGUAGGAAGCAUUGGUCUCCAUAAUGAGGAAAAGCAGUCAUCCAGAGAAAGUGACCCAGCAGUACCACAGGACGUGGAAUUGGUAGAGAAGUUCAGUGUGUUAUAAUUGCAUAUCCCGUAUCCAAAUAGAAGGAGAAAAGAUGGAAUGUGUUGAAUAGAGCCGUGUUUCUGGGUCAAAGUCCCUACCCAUGUCCAUGUGAGCACUGUUGACCAUGGCCCACCUGACUCUCCACAUCCACCCCAGGUGAACUGAUGAGCAGGGUCACCCAAUGCCACACCCUGUGACUGUUACCUAACCCCACAGGUGGCCCCGAGGUGUAGGGUGCUGGCCACCCGGUACAGCCCUCUGUUCUGUCUGAUGGUCUAGACCUGGCUUUGCUGAGGAUCCUCCAUUUAUCCAUUCUCACUGGCAGAUGUCCCUGAGCACGGGCAUGAGGCUGGCAGAGGACCAGGUCACCCUGAGGGCACCCCUCUUGCUGUUUGCGCUCUGGGCAUUGCUGGCUCCUGUCCAAGGUUCUCAAGGUCGUCCCUCAUGGCGCUACAUCUCUUCUGAGGUGGUAAUUCCCAAGAAGGAGUUGCACCACGGCAAGGGCGUUCAGAUGCCUGGCUGGCUGUCCUAUAGCCUGCAUUUUGGGGGCAAGAGCCAUGUUAUCCACAUGAGGCACAAGAAACUCUUUUGGUCCAGACAUUUGCUGAUGAUGACUCAGGAUGAUCAGGGAGCCUUGCAGAUGGACUACCCCUUCAUCCCUCCAGACUGUUACUACCUCGGCUACCUGGAGGAGAUUCCUCUUUCCAUGGUCACCAUGGACACGUGCUAUGGGGGCCUUGAAGGUAUCAUGAAGUUGGAUGACCUUGCCUAUGAAAUCAGACCCCUCAGCGAUUCCCAACGGUUUGAACACGUUGUUUCUCAGAUAGUGGCAGACACCAAUGCAACGGGACCUACUUAUAACCUGGGAUAUAAGGGGGAUAGGAACCCCCUGUUCUCUCAAGCAAAUAUCACUGCAGCCCCCAGGAUCUCUAGUAAGUUGUAUUCAUCCCAUCAUGGAAUUUUGAAAGGACUUGUUCUCGGUUCCAAAACAAUGUAUAGUGUGUUCAACAACGUGUCAAAAUGUGCCCGAUUCCUCAUAAUGCUUGUUAGUUUGACUGACUCAAUGCUUCAAGGUAUUGAUGUAAGGCACUAUAUUUCCUCCAUGGUCAUUUAUAAUCUGGAAGAUCCAGUUGUCUUGAACAAUUUUCAGGUGCCAGGGAGUCCGAUUCAUAUCUACUUUCAAAGACACUUGUUUGUUGCUUUUAAACCACAUACAGCUUUACUUAUGAACAAAGAUGCGCCACAUGAACUUCAGUUUCAGCCAGCCACAUAUGCGGUAUGUGGAUCAAAAUCCAUCAUCUCGCUUGCUUCUCUAAGCAGAAAUUUUUUAUUGUUGUCUGUGUUAGUAGCCCAAAAAAUUGCAUUAUCUAUUGGUAUUUUUUAUGACAAUCAGUUUUGUGCAUGCCAGAGGAGGUCUACCUGCAUUAUGAAUCAAUACCCUAUUAUGACAGAUUCUUUCAGUAACUGUUCCUUCAUUCAUAUGCAGCAUGUAGUGGUGACUAAUUUUUGUGAGUGCAUAUUUGACUCAGGACUUUCCUAUUUCAAUAAAAGCCUGACUCACGAUCGUUGUGGAAACUAUGUAGUGGAGCCAGGUGAGCAGUGUGACUGUGGCUCCUUCAAGCAGUGCUACAACAAUCCCUGCUGUACGAGUGAUUGUAUUCUAACCCCUGGCAGCAAAUGUGAUACAGGCAGAUGCUGUACAAACUGCACCUAUUCCGAUGCUGGGACACUCUGCAGGCCAAUCCAAAAUAUAUGUGAUCUUCCAGAAUACUGCCGUGGGGUGUCCGUGGAGUGCCCUGAUGACUUCUAUAUGCAAGAUGGAACCCCGUGCACUGAAGAGGGCUACUGCUAUCAUGGAAACUGCACUGACCGCACUAUGCACUGCCAAGAAAUCUUUGGCAGAAAUGCUGUGAAGGGUGAAAAUGUCUGCUAUACCAUAAAUCAAAAAGGCAGCCGAUAUGGACACUGCAGAAGAGACCCAGGGGUAUUCAAAUCUAAACCCUGUUCCCCCACAGACAUGCAGUGUGGAAGGCUGCAGUGUAGUAACUUCACCCAUCUCCCUCAGCUGCAAGAGCAUGUUGGAUUUCACCAGUCUGAGAUCUCAGGGUUCUGGUGUUUUGGGCUGGAUUCGCAUCAUAGCACAGGAACAACCGAUAUUGGUCAUGUGAGAACUGGUACCCCCUGUGCUCCUGGAAAGUUCUGUCAGGAUACCUACUGCAAUGGCAGUGUGACUCAACUGAACUAUGACUGUAUCCCAGAGAAAUGCAGUCACAGAGGGAUAUGCAACAGUAACAGGAACUGCCAUUGCCACGUAGGCUGGGAUCCUCCACGGUGCACUGAAUGAGGCACUGGUGGGAGCACAGACAGUGGACCCCCUCCAAGAAGAAUGCGGUCAGUCAGGCAAAGUCGUGAAUCCGUGGCAUAUCUCAGAGUGAUCUUUGCUAGAAUCUAUGUCUUAAUUGCUGCAUUCCUCUUUGGUGUUGCCGGAAAUGUCAGAACUAUCAACAGACAGAAAGUUACGGAAGAGACUGUUGAUCAAGACAAUGCAUAAUUCAGCCUCCAGACCCCUAAACAACUAUAGACAGUCCACGUGGCUCAUCUGUGAAAAUACAGUAAUGAGGCGGCACAGCUAACAUCCACGUUUCCAGGGGUCUGCGGGAGACACAGGGGUCCACAGGCACAUCAUGGACCUGACACCAGGUCUCUAAUGCGUCACUGAGCAGAACUCUGAAAUAAAACUUGAAAACGGCA
Molecule: non-coding RNA, 5957 nt
Organism: Acinonyx jubatus (cheetah)
Lineage: Eukaryota; Metazoa; Chordata; Mammalia; Carnivora; Felidae
Source: the annotation of a RefSeq genome assembly